GAUCAUGGCUCAGAUUGAACGCUGGCGGCAGGCCUAACACAUGCAAGUCGAGCGCGAAAAUUCCUUCGGGGAUGAGUAGAGCGGCGGACGGGUGAGUAACGCGUAGGAAUCUGCCCGGUAGUGGGGGACAACAGUCGGAAACGACUGCUAAUACCGCAUACGCCCUAAGGGGGAAAGCAGGGGAUCUUCGGACCUUGCGCUAUCGGAUGAGCCUGCGUCGGAUUAGCUUGUUGGUGGGGUAAUGGCCUACCAAGGCGACGAUCCGUAGCUGGUCUGAGAGGAUGAUCAACCACACUGGGACUGAGACACGGCCCAGACUCCUACGGGAGGCAGCAGUGGGGAAUAUUGGACAAUGGGGGAAACCCUGAUCCAGCCAUGCCGCGUGUGUGAAGAAGGCCUUCGGGUUGUAAAGCACUUUCAGUAGGGAGGAAAAGUUGAUGGCUAAUACCCAUCAGCCCUGACGUUACCUACAGAAGAAGCACCGGCAAACUCCGUG
Molecule: ribosomal RNA, 496 nt
Filed under: uncultured bacterium
Lineage: Bacteria
Description: bacterial SSU rRNA
Rfam family: Bacterial small subunit ribosomal RNA
Source: RNAcentral